This 983-nucleotide long non-coding RNA is filed under the name Olea europaea subsp. europaea. Lineage: Eukaryota; Viridiplantae; Streptophyta; Magnoliopsida; Lamiales; Oleaceae. The record is from RNAcentral.
CUUCCACCUUCCACCACGACCACCAGCGCCUCUCGCUCUAGUCACUCGCCUCCCGGGAUCCAAAUUAAAAUAUUUCUGUAAGGUAAGGACUCUUCAAAUUAAUACCCGCCCCUGUUCUGAACUGAUUUAUUUGUUUCUCUUUCUGUAAGUGUACUAUUUGAAGAAUUCAUACAUCGACAUGAUGCUUAAGCUGGCAAGAAACACAGGCUCUGGAAUUAAUCUUUUGGGUUCGAAAAGAAUCCCUUUCGACAUAUUCCAAAUAGGUAUUCAAGAACUGAAUUUGAGAACAAAUUGGUGCUUGAGAUUUACAAAAAUAUGGUGGCUUCUUAUGAAUUGAGUUCUAACAGAUAAGCAUGAAAUGAUUAUCAGGUUUUCUUUUCUUUUUCCCCCCUUUGUUGUUGUUUAUGCAUGUUUAGAUUUGAGAAACUCACGCUAUCUUCAACUAGUUUUUAAAUACUUAUUUAAAUAGUAUUUAGUUGGGGGGGUUUCGGGUUUACAGAAUAGAAGUAUGGUACAUCAGUUCAGAUACUGGGCUCAUCAAGCCUUAAUAAAAUUAUUAAUGAUUUCAAGAACGAUGGAAAAGGAAUGGAAAUCAAACAAAUAAUUGACAAGUACAGAGAAUUGAGUGAAAAAACCAUUUAUUACUAUCAGUGAUUUGUUGCAAUACAUUUUUGCUAAUCCUAGUGGAUAUUAGUUGAAAACAGAGGACAGUCCGAUGAGUUACAGAACGUUUGUGAAUUUAUUGGCAAAAUGUGAUUGCAGAUGGGCUUCUAGGAGACUUGAGCAUGUGCUAGUCGUAAUUAUAAAGCUCUUGAAUGAGCAAAAAGCUAAUAACCUUAAUAGAAAAUGUGGUAUGUCCAGGCAUGAGCUAAGGGAAGAGGCAAGAAAAUCUAUUGGGGACACAGGUUUAAUUGAUUUUGUACUCAAAUCUAUCAAAUCUUUUGUAGUGAAUAAUCAAAUUAUUCGAUGAACAAUAAAUCCAC